UUACCUGGCAGAAUAAGUCUAUUAUAGAAACAUGGGACAUCGAUUCUUGCUUCUCUUCGUGGUGGUGGCAACCAUUCUGCUGUCAAUGGGAGUGGAGGCAGACCGAUUUAAUAUUCCCAAGUUAGACAAAAAACGGAAGUCACUUGGUCGUUAGACAACCACGACAUCCACAACCACAGUCGCUCCGUAAAUCGACUUGGCCGAUGUGACAACAGAAGACGGCACAAUCGCGCUUGUUUGGUGCGCUACUGCAACACAUCAUUGAUAUGGAGACUUCUUCACACAGACUGCACUCUAAAUGGAGCACUGAUCUUCCAAUUUCUUGCAUUGUUAUGUACAUUUAAUAUCACUGAUAAAGAACUUCACAGG
Molecule: long non-coding RNA, 369 nt
Organism: Cryptotermes secundus
Lineage: Eukaryota; Metazoa; Arthropoda; Insecta; Blattodea; Kalotermitidae
Exons: 3
Source: RefSeq, a predicted model, not a curated record